CGAGGCCUACGGGGGGCAGCAGUGAGGAAUAUUGGUCAAUGGGCGCGAGCCUGAACCAGCCAAGUCGCGUGGGGGAAGACGGUCCUAUGGAUUGUAAACCUCUUUUGUCGGGGAGCAAAAGACGCCACGCGUGGCGUUCCGAGAGUACCCGAAGAAAAAGCAUCGGCUAACUCCGUGCCAGCAGCCGCGGUAAUACGGAGGAUGCGAGCGUUAUCCGGAUUUAUUGGGUUUAAAGGGAGCGUAGAUGGGUUGUUAAGUCAGUUGUG
Molecule: ribosomal RNA, 266 nt
Filed under: uncultured bacterium
Lineage: Bacteria
Description: partial 16S ribosomal RNA
Rfam family: Bacterial small subunit ribosomal RNA
Source: RNAcentral